UACGAAGGGUGCAAGCGUUAAUCGGAAUUACUGGGCGUAAAGCGUGCGCAGGCGGUUUUGUAAGUCUGACGUGGAAGCCCCGGGCUCAACCUGGGAAUUGCGUUGGAGACUGCAAGGCUUGAAUCUGGCAGAGGGGGGUAGAAUUCCACGUGUAGCAGUGAAAUGCGUAGAGAUGUGGAGGAACACCGAUGGCGAAGGCAGCCCCCUGGGUCAAGAUUGACGCUCAUGCACGAAAGCGUGGGGAGCAAACAGG
Molecule: ribosomal RNA, 253 nt
Filed under: uncultured bacterium
Lineage: Bacteria
Description: partial 16S ribosomal RNA
Rfam family: Bacterial small subunit ribosomal RNA
Source: RNAcentral